Molecule: long non-coding RNA, 709 nt
Filed under: Setaria viridis
Lineage: Eukaryota; Viridiplantae; Streptophyta; Magnoliopsida; Poales; Poaceae
Description: long non-coding RNA (SVIR_LNC005453)
Source: RNAcentral
AUGUUUUGUCCUCAAUCAUGUAAUUUGUAUGCUCCUGAAGCGCAGUAAAAUUUUAGCAAAUAAUGCGAAAAUAAAAUCGAACACGAGAUACGAAUUUAACGUGGAAGAACCCUUGCGGGAAAAAACCACGGAAGACUAUCACUAUUCAGGAAAAUUUACAAGCAGGGAUGAUACAUGGCUCAUCUAAGAUGUCUUAUCCUGCAGUCUACAUAGGGCUUACAUAUAUAUAGGGGUGGAAAUAGAACUCAUGUAAGAGUAGGACUCUAUCUCUAGAGUAGGUUUCGUAAUAGACUAAGAAUCAAAUCGGGUAACACAAUGUUGGUAUAUUUAACGAUCUUAAAUAAAUCCGCAAGUGCAUGGAUAUACCGUUGUAGCAUUUUACCCAAGAGUAUUCUCAAGGAUAUCGUAUUUCUCAAAGGAAGACGGGUACAUCAAAAGAGUUUACUAUGCAUAUGAGCACAUCAUAAGAUGGAUAGGAACAAUACUCAAGGCAGGGGUAAGAUAGAUAGAUAGAUAGAUAGUGUGACACACAUGGGAAUCAUCUCAAGAUAACUAAGCUAGGGAGAAGGGCUAAGAGUUAGCUCUAGGUUCAUAUGUACUGCCUAUAUACUGCACAGAUCAUACAAGCAUAAUAUACAUAUACAUUGUAUAGAACUCAGGCCUAUGCACCCAGGCACACACGGGGAGACAAUACUCGUACUAGUUCCAC